GGGGAAUAUUGCACAAUGGGGGAAACCCUGAUGCAGCGACGCCGCGUGGAGGAAGAAGGUCUUCGGAUUGUAAACUCCUGUUGUUGAGGAAGAUAAUGACGGUACUCAACAAGGAAGUGACGGCUAACUACGUGCCAGCAGCCGCGGUAAAACGUAGGUCACAAGCGUUGUCCGGAAUUACUGGGUGUAAAGGGAGCGCAGGCGGGAAGACAAGUUGGAAGUGAAAUCUAUGGGCUCAACCCAUAAACUGCUUUCAAAACUGUUUUUCUUGAGUAGUGCAGAGGUAGGCGGAAUUCCCGGUGUAGCGGUGGAAUGCGUAGAUAUCGGGAGGAACACCAGUGGCGAAGGCGGCCUACUGGGCACCAACUGACGCUGAGGCUCGAAAGUGUGGGUAGCAAACAGGAUUAGAUACCCUGGUAGUCCACGCCGUAAACGAUGAUUACUAGGUGUUGGAGGAUUGACCCCUUCAGUGCCGCAGUUAACACAAUAAGUAAUCCACCUGGGGAGUACGACCGCAAGGUUGAAACUCAAAGGAAUUGACGGGGGCCCGCACAAGCAGUGGAGUAUGUGGUUUAAUUCGACGCAACGCGAAGAACCUUACCAAGUCUUGACAUCCUGCGACGAUGCUGGAAACAGUAUUUUCCUUCGGGACGCAGAGACAGGUGGUGCAUGGUUGUCGUCAGCUCGUGUCGUGAGAUGUUGGGUUAAGUCCCGCAACGAGCGCAACCCUUACUGUCAGUUACUACGCAAGAGGACUCUGGCAGGACUGCCGUUGACAAAACGGAGGAAGGUGGGGAUGACGUCAAAUCAUCAUGCCCUUUAUGACUUGGGCUACACACGUACUACAAUGGCGUUAAACAAAGAGAAGCAAGACCGCGAGGUGGAGCAAAACUCAGAAACAACGUCCCAGUUCGGACUGCAGGCUGCAACUCGCCUGCACGAAGUCGGAAUUGCUAGUAAUCGUGGAUCAGCAUGCCACGGUGAAUACGUUCCCG
RNAcentral lists this ribosomal RNA (995 nucleotides) under uncultured bacterium. RNAcentral's name for it is "bacterial SSU rRNA". It matches the Rfam family "Bacterial small subunit ribosomal RNA", at positions 356 to 1376 of the family's 1533-position model. The record is from RNAcentral.